Molecule: microRNA precursor, 64 nt
Filed under: Columba livia (rock pigeon)
Lineage: Eukaryota; Metazoa; Chordata; Aves; Columbiformes; Columbidae
Also listed under: 1 other name
Description: Cli-Mir-96-P1_pre stem-loop
Source: RNAcentral
UUUGGCACUAGCACAUUUUUGCUUUGAUUUGUAGCUUUUGAGCAAUUAUGUGUAGUGCCAAUAU